This 74-nucleotide transfer RNA is filed under the name Corallococcus macrosporus. RNAcentral describes it as "tRNA-Arg". It matches the Rfam family "tRNA". Rfam says of the family: Transfer RNA (tRNA) molecules are approximately 80 nucleotides in length. The record is from RNAcentral. Lineage: Bacteria; Pseudomonadati; Myxococcota; Myxococcia; Myxococcales; Myxococcaceae.
GGUCCCGUAGCUCAGUUGGAUAGAGCGGCGGUUUCCUAAACCGCAGGCCACAGGUUCGAUUCCUGUCGGGGCCA